RNAcentral lists this ribosomal RNA (496 nucleotides) under uncultured bacterium. RNAcentral's name for it is "partial 16S ribosomal RNA". It matches the Rfam family "Bacterial small subunit ribosomal RNA", at positions 28 to 506 of the family's 1533-position model. The record is from RNAcentral.
GAUGAACGCUGGCGGCGUGCCUAAUACAUGCAAGUCGAGCGAACAGACGAGGAGCUUGCUCCUCUGACGUUAGCGGCGGACGGGUGAGUAACACGUGGAUAACCUACCUAUAAGACUGGGAUAACUUCGGGAAACCGGAGCUAAUACCGGAUAAUAUAUUGAACCGCAUGGUUCAAUAGUGAAAGACGGUUUUGCUGUCACUUAUAGAUGGAUCCGCGCCGCAUUAGCUAGUUGGUAAGGUAACGGCUUACCAAGGCAACGAUGCGUAGCCGACCUGAGAGGGGGAUCGGCCACACUGGAACUGAGACCCGGUCCAGCCCCCGACGGGAGGCAGCAGUAGGGAAUCUGCCGCAAGGGGCGAAAGCCUGACGGAGCAACGCCGCGUGAGUGAUGAAGGUCUGCGGAUCGUAAAACUCUGUUAUUAGGGAAGAACAAAUGUGUAAGUAACUAUGCACGUCUUGACGGUACCUAAUCAGAAAGCCACGGCUAACUACGG